CAAAUAUAUAAUAACAAAAAUCUAAAACUAAAAUCUAAAAUCUAGAAACUAAAAUCUAAAUCCAAAAACUGAAUCGAAAAUCAGCAUCCAUUCAGGGCCAAGAUCUCCAAAUUUUACCAGUUGCAAAAAUGAUGGAUGAGAAAUAUUGUAAAAGUUGAUUCAUUUUUA
Molecule: small RNA, 168 nt
Filed under: Arabidopsis thaliana (thale cress)
Lineage: Eukaryota; Viridiplantae; Streptophyta; Magnoliopsida; Brassicales; Brassicaceae
Description: ATSL061240
Source: RNAcentral